This 444-nucleotide ribosomal RNA is filed under the name uncultured bacterium. RNAcentral's name for it is "bacterial SSU rRNA". It matches the Rfam family "Bacterial small subunit ribosomal RNA", at positions 64 to 507 of the family's 1533-position model. The record is from RNAcentral.
GAGCGGUAUUGUUUCUUCGGAAACGAGAGUAGCGGCGCACGGGUGCGGAACACGUGUGCAACCUGCCUUUAUCUGGGGGAUAGCCUUUCGAAAGGAAGAUUAAUACCCCAUAAUAUUUUGAAUGGCAUCAUUUAAAAUUGAAAACUCCGGUGGAUAGAGAUGGGCACGCGCAAGAUUAGAUAGUUGGUAGGGUAACGGCCUACCAAGUCAGUGAUCUUUAGGGGGCCUGAGAGGGUGAUCCCCCACACUGGUACUGAGACACGGACCAGACUCCUACGGGAGGCAGCAGUGAGGAAUAUUGGACAAUGGGUGAGGGCCUGAUCCAGCCAUCCCGCGUGAAGGACGACGGCCCUAUGGGUUGUAAACUUCUUUUGUACAGGGAUAAACCUUUCCACGUGUGGAAAGCUGAAGGUACUGUACGAAUAAGCACCGGCUAACUCCGUG